Molecule: long non-coding RNA, 2157 nt
Organism: Lolium perenne
Lineage: Eukaryota; Viridiplantae; Streptophyta; Magnoliopsida; Poales; Poaceae
Source: RefSeq, a predicted model, not a curated record
CGUCUCCUCUGGAAACGUCCAGAUCUCCACCGCCUCCGACCUCCACCGCUUCCCAAAAAAAACACAGCCUAAGCCCCAGUCUGUCUCUCCAUCGAUCCUCGCGUCAUGGCGUGUAUGCCGCGGCCUGCGUCGCCGUUCCCUCUCCCAGCAGGGUCCAUCGCCGUCAGGCCACCCGCCAGGCCGCCAUCUGCGGACCGCAUUGACGCCGUCGUCGAGGCGGUUGGAAGCGCGGAUGAGUUUAUUGGGAGGAGUUGAUUACAGCUAAUCCUCUAGAUUUUUCUGGAUGUGGUGCAGCCCAAGGCAGGGAGUUUAUUGGGACGAGCUGAUUCCGUCUAAUUUUCUAGAUUUUCCUGGACAUGAUGGAGCCUGCAGGAGGAGGUCAGCCUCAGCGGCUGCAAUUUGGAGCCCGGGCUACUGCCUGCGCGUUCGAGUCUUGCGUGCUGCCAGCUGCGGCGAUGACGUUGACGGUUCCAUUCUUCGCGCCCAAUAGAAGUAGCAGCAAGAUGGACAGGACCUCCAUCCUAGGGAAUACUACCGACUACAUGGAGCAGCUAGAGAUGCUCCGGCUUCCUGACCCCUGAUCCCGCCGGCUGGCUCGCCGUGUUCCCGUUUGAUGAUCAGAAGCCCCGCCGCCUACUCCGGAUUCGUGAGCUCAGAGGACCAUGGCUGCAGAGGAAAUCAUACUGGAGCGGCGCACACAUGGAGGGGGUCUGGCAGUGGCUGCCCACAGAGCCGGUACUCCAUGAGCGGCUGCUCCAUGCUAGGCCAUGGAUAUACCUUGAGAGUUGUUGUGCUGUGCUUGGUCGCCGCGGCUCGGCCAUGAGUCUAGAGGUGACCAAGCCAUCGAUUGGAUGGGGCAAAAUGCCCUUUCCCAAUCCCUUAUAGCAAAGGACACGAUAGGUUUUGCGGUCUCCCAAAAGAUCAUCUCUGCAGAGUCUCAACUACAUACCAAACUUAAAAGAUCCUAGAAGAUUCUCAACCAUCUGCUUGCUACCGUUCAGAUAACGUUUUCCUUUGCUUGAAGGUGAGCUGAUUCUAACUUUGACCUCAAGCUGCUCCCGCCCUUGAGAGGUGAAUUGUCAUUUCUAUAGGGUUCACAAGUAAUUUGUUCAACUAUAAUACAGUAGCCAGUGCAUGAGACAGAGAUAAGGCAUCACUGCAUCAGCUACAGUUUUUUUGUGCCGUACACACGAAUUAAAGGGCCAUGUUUCAAAGUAUUACUCCAGUGUUCAACUACGGGCUGAUUUCAAGAUGAUUUUUGCCUGCAACAGGACAGGUAAUGUACUAACUUCAGUAGCAGAGGGCUCAAAACUUUCCAAUUAAUUUUCCAAAUAACUUAUGUCAUGUUCUCCAGCUAACUCAGUGGAUUAUAGAACUUGCUAUUUUCAGGUCAAGCACUACGUUAGAUCUGUUAGAAAAUAGAGCACUGAUACGUCUCCGACGUAUCGAUAAUUUCUUAUGUUCCAUGCCACAUUAUUGAUGUUAUCUACAUGUUUUAUGCACACUUUAUGUCAUAUUCGUGCAUUUUCUGGAACUAACCUAUUAACAAGAUGCCGAAGUGCCGAUUCUUUGUUUCUGCUGUUUUUGGUUUCAGAAAUCCUAGUAACGAAAUAUUCUCGGAAUUGGACGAAAUCAACGCCCAGGGUCCUAUUUUGCCACGAAGCUUCCAGAAGUCCGAAGAGGAGACGAAGUGGGGCCACGAGGUGCCCAGACCCUAGGGCGGCGCGGCCCCCCCCCCUGGCCGCGCGGCCCUGUGGUGUGGGGCCCUCGUGCCGCCUCCUGACCUGCCCUUCCGCCUACUUAAAGCCUCCGUUGCGAAACCCCCAGUACCGAGAGCCACGAUACGGAAAACCUUCCAGAGACGCCGCCGUCGCCGAUCCCAUCUCGGGGGAUCCAGGAGAUCGCCUCCGGCACCCUGCCGGAGAGGGGAAUCAUCUCCCGGAGGACUCUACGCCGCCAUGGUCGCCUCCGGAGUGAUGUGUGAGUAGUCUACCCCUGGACUAUGGGUCCAUAGCAGUAGCUAGAUGGUUGUCUUCUCCCCAUUGUGCUUCAUUGUCGGAUCUUGUGACCUGCCUAACAUGAUCAAGAUCAUCUAUCUGUAAUUCUAUAUGUUGCGUUUGUUGGGAUCCGAUGAAUAGAGAAUACUUGUUAUGUUGA